CCUACGGGUGGCUGCAGUGGGGAAUAUUGGACAAUGGGGGGAACCCUGAUCCAGCCAUGCCGCGUGUGUGAAGAAGGCCCUCGGGUUGUAAAGCACUUUCAGUGAGGAAGAACGCCUGGUGGUUAAUACCCAUCAGGAAAGACAUCACUCACAGAAGAAGCACGGCUAACUCCGUGCCAGAGCCGCGGUAAUACGGAGGGUGCGAGCGUUAAUCGGAAUUACUGGGCGUAAAGCGCGCGUAGGUGGCUUGAUAAGCCGGUUGUGAAAGCCCCGGGCUCAACCUGGGAACGGCAUCCGGAACUGUCAAGCUAGAGUGCAGGAGAGGAAGGUAGAAUUCCCGGUGUAGCGGUGAAAUGCGUAGAGAUCGGGAGGAAUACCAGUGGCGAAGGCGGCCUUCUGGACUGACACUGACACUGAGGUGCGAAAGCGUGGGUAGCAAACAGGAUUAGAUACCCCGGUAGUC
RNAcentral lists this ribosomal RNA (463 nucleotides) under Vreelandella stevensii. RNAcentral's name for it is "partial 16S ribosomal RNA". It matches the Rfam family "Bacterial small subunit ribosomal RNA", at positions 338 to 795 of the family's 1533-position model. Lineage: Bacteria; Pseudomonadati; Pseudomonadota; Gammaproteobacteria; Oceanospirillales; Halomonadaceae. The record is from RNAcentral.